Mobula hypostoma (lesser devil ray) is the source of this 2649-nucleotide long non-coding RNA. RefSeq lists it as uncharacterized. The record is from RefSeq and is a predicted model, not a curated record. NCBI's taxonomy places the organism in Eukaryota, Metazoa, Chordata, Chondrichthyes, Myliobatiformes, Myliobatidae. The transcript has 5 exons.
AGCAGGAAUGAUGCACCUCUGCCUGGCUGAGUGUAAACUAUCAGCCAUUUUAGCAAGCACCCAAUAGUCCUUCAAGGGUGCAUUAGCAAGGGCUAAGUGAACUUGAUCAAGCAUUUGCUACAUGAAGAGUUCUUUAAAAAAUAAAACAAGGAUGGUGAUUUCCCAGGAGAGACAGCACGUGGUCCAUUAGCUCUGAUGGCUUAGCAUCGCCAAGGCCGGGCAAAACGAGCAACUCUUUGGCACGCUCAAAUUCCAAUAGCCCAGAAGUCUGUCAGCGGUGAGAAAGAUACCCACCCUUCUGCGUCAUCAACACUCAAUCUGCAGAGAUCUCAUCUAACAACGGACUUCUGCAACUUGUGCAGCUGCAGUUGUUUGUGAGUACGUUAGUGGCAUCUGCAAAAGCAAAAAUAAAGCAGAAAGAAACUCAGAUUUAUUUCAGUGAUUCAUUUUGUGGAGGUUGCUUAAAAUUUGAUUGCAUGAAAGCUGGACAAUAAAAAGCAGUGCUUGCUUAAUGUGGCUUGUUUCAUGAGGUAUAUGAAAAAUUGCACAGGAGCUCUAAAAACAAUCAGUAAAGGAACAGCACGACAAAUCUUCCACCAUCAUUACAGUUGACAAAGGUCUAUUUGUUAAAUUUUCGUCAUUUUUAUCUCAAUAUCAGCGAAUGCUCAACAUAUAAGAGAAGACACAACAGAAAAGAAAGGCUGCUGAUGACAAAGGCAGCAUUGUGAAGACCAGACCAGAGAGAACCUGGCUCAUUGCAGAUGGAAAGCAGAAGUGGAAACUGAAUUAAGAGAGACAGAUCAGAUGAGAGAAAACAAAUAGCUGAUAACAUAAAUGUGAAUUCAAAUGUUUUACAGGGAAAUAUUUACUAUAUGUUUAAAUAGUACAUCAUUUGGAGUGGAGCCAAACAUGAGCUAAAAAUGUGAACAUAUCCAUUGGUAAUGAGGGCAGUGAUAAAGUACAAAAUAAAUACUUGGGAUUGUUGUGUAUUUAAUAUUGAAGUAUGUUUGAGUACUCUUGUGUAUAUAUAUUUAUUAUGCAUUCUCAUUCAUUCAAAUAAUUCAUUACAAAUUAUAGGUAAGGAAAGCAAAUGUGAUGCUAGCAUUCACUUCAAGAGGACUAGAGGAAAACAAGGAUGUAAUGUUGAGACUUUAUAAGGCACUGGUGAGGCGUCAUUUGGAGUAUUGUGAGCAGGUUCGAAAGGAUGUGCAGAAACUGGUUCGAAAGGAUGUGCUGACACUGGAGAGGGUUCGAAGGAGGUUCACAACAAUGAUUCCAGGAUUGAAUGGCUUGUUUGAUGGCUCUGGGCUUGUAUUCCUGGAAUUCAGAAGAAUGAGGGGUGACCUCCUUGAAACCUAUCGAAUUGUGAAAGGCCUUGAUAUGGAUGUGGAGAAAAUGUUUCGUAUGGUCAAAGAGUCUAAGACCCAAGGACACAGCCUCAGAAUAGAGGGGCAUCCUUUUAGAAUGAAGAUGAGAAGGAAUUUCUUAGCCAGAGAGUGGUGAAUGUGUAGAGACCAAGACUUUAUGUACUGGUAUAUUUUAGGCAGAGGUUGAUAGAUUUUUUUUAUUGGUCCGGGUAUGAAGGGAUACAGGGAGAAGGCAGGAGAUUGGGGCUGAGAAGAAAAUUGGAUCACCGAAUUAUAGGAAAGAUGUCAAUAAAAUUGAGACAUUACAGAGGAGGUUUACUAAAAUGUUGCCUGGGUUUCAUCUCCUAAGUUACAGAGAAAGGUUGAACAAGUUAGGUCUUUAUUCUUUGGAGCGUAGAAGGUUGAGGGGGGACUUGAUAGAGUUGUUUAAAAUUAUGAGGGGGAUAGAUAGAGUUGACAUGGAUAGGCCUUUUCCAUUGAGAAUGGGGGAGAUUCAAACAUGAGGACAUGAGUUGAGAGUUAAAGGGCAAAAGUUUAGGGGUAACAUGAGGGGGAACUUUACUCAGAGAGUGGUAGCUGUGUGGAAUGAGCUUCUAGCAGAAGUGGUUGAGGCAGGUUCAAUGUUGUCGUUUAAAGUUAAAUUGGAUAGAUAUAUGGACAGGAAAGGAAUGGAGGGUUAUGGGCUGAGUGCAGGUUGGUGGGACUAGGUGAGAGUAAGAGUUCGGCACGGACUAGAAGGGCCGAGAUGGCCUGUUUCCGUGCUGUAAUUGUUAUAUGGUUAUAUGGUUAUAUGGAUCAGCCAUGAUGAAAUGGCAGAGCAAACUCGCUGGGCCAAAUGGCCUAAUUCUGCUCCUAUAUCUUAUAUGUAUAAAUAUGUGAAAUACAUAUGUCAUCAUGCAGUCAUGUGAUACAUGUCUGCCUCACAAAAUAAUCACAAAGUUAGAUCUGUAUUUCGGACUCCUGUGUCUUCCAUUGAAUUUGUUUAAAUGUUUUGAAGGUACAAAACAUAAUAUUGGGACACAGCUCCCAGCCCUGGAGGACACCUACAGCUCUCGCUGCCUGAGGAAAGGACCAUACACACCCAUGCAAUCAUUUGUUUCAACUUCUUCCAUCUGGCAGACAUUAUAAGAUUUUCUAUGCCCGCACUUCCAGACUGAAAAAUAGCUUUUUCCCCAGAGCUAUAAUUGCUGUGAACCAAUCGAUCAAGCAUCAUCCAUAAAUUUGUUAUAUUGCUACUUUAAUACUGGUUUUAUGGCUGUCAUGCAUCUGAGUUGUGUUUUUG